UUCGAAGGUGGCAAGCGUUACUCGGAAUUACUAGGCGUAAAGGGCAUGUAGGUGGUCUGAUAAGUCUGUUGUGUAAGCUCCCGGCUUAACUGGGAGAGGUCAACGGAAACUAUCAGGCUUGAGUGUGGGAGAGGGUACUGGAAUUCCGGGUGUAGCGGUGGAAUGCGUAGAGAUCCGGAAGAACACCGGUGGCGAAGGCGGCCUGCUGGGCAGUUGCUGACACUGAGGCGCGACAGCGUGGGGAGCAAACAGG
RNAcentral lists this ribosomal RNA (253 nucleotides) under uncultured bacterium. RNAcentral's name for it is "partial 16S ribosomal RNA". It matches the Rfam family "Bacterial small subunit ribosomal RNA", at positions 524 to 776 of the family's 1533-position model. The record is from RNAcentral.